CUGCGUAUUUUGCUUUCCAUCACUUCCAUUCGUUCAAUAGAAAAACCACAAUCUUUCAGAAUUAUUCUUAGUUCCUCUUCACUAAAAUUAAGAAUAUGAUAUUUGUGCCCGCUAACCUUAUAAUAUGAUGCAUUAAACCCCCCAAUCAAUAAAAGAUGUCCUCCUAAUUUAAGCAUAGAUGAUAUUGUCAUUAGAUUAUGACGGUAACU
Pelobates cultripes (western spadefoot toad) is the source of this 209-nucleotide non-coding RNA. The record is from the annotation of a GenBank genome assembly. NCBI's taxonomy places the organism in Eukaryota, Metazoa, Chordata, Amphibia, Anura, Pelobatidae.